GUGGGGAAUAUUGGGCAAUGGGCGAAAGCCUGACCCAGCAACGCCGCGUGAAGGAAGAAGGCUUUCGGGUUGUAAACUUCUUUUGUCAGGGACGAAAAAAAUGACGGUACCUGACGAAUAAGCCACGGCUAACUACGUGCCAGCAGCCGCGGUAAUACGUAGGUGGCAAGCGUUAUCCGGAUUUACUGGGUGUAAAGGGCGUGUAGGCGGGAAAGCAAGUCAGAUGUGAAAACUAUGGGCUCAACCCAUAGCCUGCAUUUGAAACUGUUUUUCUUGAGUACUGGAGAGGCAGAUGGAAUUCCUAGUGUAGCGGUGAAAUGCGUAGAUAUUAGGAGGAACACCAGUGGCGAAGGCGAUCUGCUGGACAGCAACUGACGCUGAGGCGCGAAAGCGUGGGGAGCAAACAGGAUUAGAUACCCUGGUAGUCC
This 428-nucleotide ribosomal RNA is filed under the name uncultured bacterium. RNAcentral's name for it is "partial 16S ribosomal RNA". It matches the Rfam family "Bacterial small subunit ribosomal RNA", at positions 354 to 796 of the family's 1533-position model. The record is from RNAcentral.